Molecule: ribosomal RNA, 433 nt
Filed under: Plesionida concava
Lineage: Eukaryota; Metazoa; Arthropoda; Malacostraca; Decapoda; Munididae
Description: partial 16S ribosomal RNA
Rfam family: Bacterial large subunit ribosomal RNA (bases 309-433)
Source: RNAcentral
UCAUUAGUUUUUUAAUUGAAAGCUUGUAUGAAGGGUUUGACAAAGAAAAGGCUGUCUUUAUUUUUAGGUUUGAAGUUAACUUUUAAGUGAAAAGGCUUAAAUGAAUUUAAGGGACGAUAAGACCCUAUAAAUCUUUAUAUUAGUAUAAUUUUUUGUAUAUUAAUGGAAAUGUUAAAAUAACAAAUAGAUUGGAGAUAUUUUGUUGGGGUGAUGAGAAUAUAAAAUUAACUGUUCUUAUAAUUAAACAAAGUUGUUUGUUUGAUAUUAGUAGAUCCUUUUUAGAGAUUAAAAGUUUAAGUUACUUUAGGGAUAACAGCGUUAUUUUUUUUGAGAGUUCUUAUCGAAAAAAGAGUUUGCGACCUCGAUGUUGAAUUAAAAUUUCUCUAUGGUGUAGAAGUUGUAGGAGGAAAGUCUGUUCGACUUUUGAAAUUUU